This 301-nucleotide ribosomal RNA is filed under the name uncultured bacterium. Its description in RNAcentral is "partial 16S ribosomal RNA". It matches the Rfam family "Bacterial small subunit ribosomal RNA", at positions 509 to 808 of the family's 1533-position model. The record is from RNAcentral.
CAGUAGCCGCGGUAACACGUAGGUGGCGAGCGUUGUCCGGAAUCAUUGGGCGUAAAGGGAGCGCAGGCGGGCAUGUAAGUCUUUCUUAAAAGUGCGGGGCUCAACCCCGUGAUGGGAAAGAAACUAUGUGUCUUGAGUACAGGAGAGGAAAGCGGAAUUCCCAGUGUAGCGGUGAAAUGCGUAGAUAUUGGGAGGAACACCAGUGGCGAAGGCGGCUUUCUGGACUGCAACUGACGCUGAGGCGCGAAAGCGUGGGGAGCAAACAGGAUUAGAUACCCCUGUAGUCCCUGUCUCUUAUACA